This 253-nucleotide ribosomal RNA is filed under the name uncultured archaeon. RNAcentral describes it as "partial 16S ribosomal RNA". It matches the Rfam family "Archaeal small subunit ribosomal RNA", at positions 474 to 726 of the family's 1478-position model. The record is from RNAcentral.
CACCAGCGCCACAAGUGGCAACCGUAUUUAUUUGGCCUAAAGCGUUCGUAGCUGGUUGGGUAAAUCUUCUGUGAAAUUGUAUUGCUUAACAAUACAACGUGCAGGAGACACUGCUCAGCUAGGGACCGGGAGGGGUAUGGAGUAUUCUUGAGGGAGCGGUAAAAUGCUAUAAUCUCUUGCAGACUACCUGUGGCGAAGGCGCCAUACCAGCACGGAUCCGACAGUGAGGGACGAAAGCCAGGGGAGCAAUCCG